RNAcentral lists this ribosomal RNA (459 nucleotides) under uncultured bacterium. RNAcentral's name for it is "partial 16S ribosomal RNA". It matches the Rfam family "Bacterial small subunit ribosomal RNA", at positions 338 to 795 of the family's 1533-position model. The record is from RNAcentral.
CCUACGGGAGGCAGCAGUGAGGAAUAUUGGACAAUGGGCGCGAGCCUGAACCAGCCAAGUCGCGUGAGGGAAGACGGUCCUAUGGAUUGUAAACCUCUUUUGUCGGGGAGCAAAAGACGCCACGCGUGGCGUUCCGAGAGUACCAGAAGAAAAAGCAUCGGCUAACUCCGUGCCAGCAGCCGCGGUAAUACGGAGGAUGCGAGCGUUAUCGGGAUUUAGUGGGUUAAAAGGGUGCGCAGGGGGAAGAUCAAGUCAGCGGUAAAAUUGAGGGGCUCAACCUCUUCGAGCCGUUGAAACUGGGUGUCUUGAGUGUGCGAGAGGUAUGCGGAAUGCGUGGUGUAGCGGUGAAAUGCAUAGAUAUCACGCAGAACUCCGAUUGCGAAGGCAGCAUACCGGCGCUCAACUGACGCUCAUGCACGAAAGUGUGGGUAUCGAACAGGAUUAGAUACCCCGGUAGUC